This 864-nucleotide ribosomal RNA is filed under the name uncultured bacterium. Its description in RNAcentral is "bacterial SSU rRNA". It matches the Rfam family "Bacterial small subunit ribosomal RNA", at positions 9 to 858 of the family's 1533-position model. The record is from RNAcentral.
CCAGUUCGAUCCUGGCUCUGAGUGUACGCGGGGAAAUGGCCUUGGACUAGACAGUGGAACGGUUGCACCAUAAGAGCUUGCGCUUACGGGUAGCGAGUGGCGGACGGGUGAGGAAUACAUCGGAUUCUACUUUUUCGUGGGGGAUAACGUAUGGAAACUUAUACUAAUACCGCAUACGACCUACGGGUGAAAGCAGGGGAUCUUCGGACCUUGCGCGAUUGAAUGAGCCGAUGUCGGAUUAGCUAGUUGGCGGGGUAAAGGCCCACCGAGGCGACGAUCCGUAGCUGGUCUGAGAGGAUGAUCAGCCACACUGGAACUGAGACACGGUCCAGACCCCUACGGGAGGCAGCAGUGGGGAAUAUUGGACAAUGGGCGCAAGCCUGAUCCAGCCAUACCGCGUGGGUGAAGAAGGCCUUCGGGUUGUAAAGCCCUUUUGUUGGGAAAGAAAUCCAGCUGGUUAAUACCCGGUUGGGAUGACGGUACCCAAAGAAUAAGCACCGGCUAACUUCGUGCCAGCAGCCGCGGUAAUACGAAGGGUGCAAGCGUUACUCGGAAUUACUGGGCGUAAAGCGUGCGUAGGUGGUUGUUUAAGUCUGUUGUGAAAGCCCUGGGCUCAACCUGGGAACUGCAGUGGAAACUGGACGACUAGAGUGUGGUAGAGGGUAGCGGAAUUUCUGGUGUAGCAGUGAAAUGCGUAGAGAUCAGGAGGAACAUCCAUGGCGAAGGCAGCUACCUGGGACCAACACUGACACUGAGCACGAAAGCGUGGGGAGCAAACAAGGAUUAGAUACCCUGGUAGUCACCGCCCUAAACGAUGCGACUGGAUGUUGGGUGCAAUUUGGCACGCAGNNUCGAAGCUAACGC